GGAACUGUGGCUCAAGUGGUAGAGCAUGAGCCUUUAUCAGAAAAGCUCAGGGCCAGUUCCA
RNAcentral lists this transfer RNA (61 nucleotides) under Dipodomys ordii (Ord's kangaroo rat). Lineage: Eukaryota; Metazoa; Chordata; Mammalia; Rodentia; Heteromyidae. The record is from Rfam by way of RNAcentral.